RNAcentral lists this unclassified non-coding RNA (275 nucleotides) under uncultured fungus. RNAcentral describes it as "sequence contains 18S rRNA gene, ITS1, 5.8S rRNA gene". The stretch from base 1 to 52 matches the Rfam family "Eukaryotic small subunit ribosomal RNA", at positions 1780 to 1831 of the family's 1831-position model. Lineage: Eukaryota; Fungi. The record is from RNAcentral.
AAGUAAAAGUCGUAACAAGGUUUCCGUAGGUGAACCUGCGGAAGGAUCAUUACAAGUGAGGCUACCGAACGUUGGAAACAGCGGUUAGGAGCUUACACCCACCCGUGUUUACAUACUAUUGUUGCUUUGGCGGGCCGUGGCCUCCACUGCGGGCUCUGCUCGUGUGUGCCCGCCAGAGAACCAAACUCUGAGUGUUAGUGAUGUCUGAGUACUAUCUAAUAGUUAAAACUUUCAACAACGGAUCUCUUGGUUCUGGCAUCGAUGAAGAACGCAGC